Molecule: ribosomal RNA, 1405 nt
Filed under: Staphylococcus pseudoxylosus
Lineage: Bacteria; Bacillati; Bacillota; Bacilli; Caryophanales; Staphylococcaceae
Description: bacterial SSU rRNA
Rfam family: Bacterial small subunit ribosomal RNA
Source: RNAcentral
GAGCGAACAGAUAAGGAGCUUGCUCCUUUGACGUUAGCGGCGGACGGGUGAGUAACACGUGGGUAACCUACCUAUAAGACUGGGAUAACUUCGGGAAACCGGAGCUAAUACCGGAUAACAUUUGGAACCGCAUGGUUCUAAAGUGAAAGAUGGUUUUGCUAUCACUUAUAGAUGGACCCGCGCCGUAUUAGCUAGUUGGUAAGGUAACGGCUUACCAAGGCGACGAUACGUAGCCGACCUGAGAGGGUGAUCGGCCACACUGGAACUGAGACACGGUCCAGACUCCUACGGGAGGCAGCAGUAGGGAAUCUUCCGCAAUGGGCGAAAGCCUGACGGAGCAACGCCGCGUGAGUGAUGAAGGGUUUCGGCUCGUAAAACUCUGUUAUUAGGGAAGAACAAAUGUGUAAGUAACUGUGCACGUCUUGACGGUACCUAAUCAGAAAGCCACGGCUAACUACGUGCCAGCAGCCGCGGUAAUACGUAGGUGGCAAGCGUUAUCCGGAAUUAUUGGGCGUAAAGCGCGCGUAGGCGGUUUCUUAAGUCUGAUGUGAAAGCCCACGGCUCAACCGUGGAGGGUCAUUGGAAACUGGGAAACUUGAGUGCAGAAGAGGAAAGUGGAAUUCCAUGUGUAGCGGUGAAAUGCGCAGAGAUAUGGAGGAACACCAGUGGCGAAGGCGACUUUCUGGUCUGUAACUGACGCUGAUGUGCGAAAGCGUGGGGAUCAAACAGGAUUAGAUACCCUGGUAGUCCACGCCGUAAACGAUGAGUGCUAAGUGUUAGGGGGUUUCCGCCCCUUAGUGCUGCAGCUAACGCAUUAAGCACUCCGCCUGGGGAGUACGACCGCAAGGUUGAAACUCAAAGGAAUUGACGGGGACCCGCACAAGCGGUGGAGCAUGUGGUUUAAUUCGAAGCAACGCGAAGAACCUUACCAAAUCUUGACAUCCUUUGAAAACUCUAGAGAUAGAGCUUUCCCCUUCGGGGGACAAAGUGACAGGUGGUGCAUGGUUGUCGUCAGCUCGUGUCGUGAGAUGUUGGGUUAAGUCCCGCAACGAGCGCAACCCUUAAGCUUAGUUGCCAUCAUUAAGUUGGGCACUCUAGGUUGACUGCCGGUGACAAACCGGAGGAAGGUGGGGAUGACGUCAAAUCAUCAUGCCCCUUAUGAUUUGGGCUACACACGUGCUACAAUGGACAAUACAAAGGGCAGCUAAACCGCGAGGUCAUGCAAAUCCCAUAAAGUUGUUCUCAGUUCGGAUUGUAGUCUGCAACUCGACUACAUGAAGCUGGAAUCGCUAGUAAUCGUAGAUCAGCAUGCUACGGUGAAUACGUUCCCGGGUCUUGUACACACCGCCCGUCACACCACGAGAGUUUGUAACACCCGAAGCCGGUGGAGUAACCAUUUAUGGAG